Suricata suricatta (meerkat) is the source of this 251-nucleotide long non-coding RNA. RefSeq lists it as uncharacterized. The record is from RefSeq and is a predicted model, not a curated record. The transcript is spliced from 3 exons. Lineage: Eukaryota; Metazoa; Chordata; Mammalia; Carnivora; Herpestidae.
CUAUUGAGGAGCACACAGCUCCCUGGAAGAGGAAGGAGAAAAUGCUCAGGCUGAGUGGGGCUGAGAAAGAUUUUGUAUAAUUUAUUCAGAAGUGCCAAAUUUCAGUGAACCCAACCCAGAUUAUCGAGGACAACAGAGCAGAGGGGCACACAAUGAACAGAAGAAUAAUUCCAUGAAUAAUAACAUGGGUACAGGUACAUUUGGACCAGUGGGUAAGAUUUUUUUUUUUCAUAUUUGUGAUCAGAUGUUAA